Non-coding RNA from Cicer arietinum (chickpea), 223 nucleotides. The record is from RefSeq and is a predicted model, not a curated record. NCBI's taxonomy places the organism in Eukaryota, Viridiplantae, Streptophyta, Magnoliopsida, Fabales, Fabaceae.
UUAGCCGCAAUUCUUAAGAUAAAACAGUGUACGGGUUGUAGCGUGGAAUCCCAAGAAGUGCUAGAUGCUGAAAUUUCAGCUCGGGUUCUCCAGUUGAUCAACGUAACUGACAGUGGAGUACACAGUCAGUGACAGUGCUUCUUCGUUCCCAUCUCCGGUGACGGCGCUGCUUUCAGCCUCUCUCUGGUGACGGUGUAGCGUAACACUUCUCCAUCGACCGUGC